UACAGAGGGUGCGAGCGUUGUCCGGAAUCACUGGGCGUAAAGGGCGCGUAGGUGGCUUGGUAAGCGUGUGGUGAAAGUCCGGGGCUCAACCCCGGAUCUGCCGUGCGAACUGCCGAGCUGGAGCAAUGUAGAGGCGGGUGGAAUUUCGGGUGUAGCGGUGGAAUGCGUAGAUAUCCGAAAGAACACCGGUGGCGAAGGCGGCCCGCUGGGCAUUUGCUGACACUGAGGCGCGACAGCGUGGGGAGCAAACAGGAUUAGAAACCCUGGUAGU
RNAcentral lists this ribosomal RNA (271 nucleotides) under uncultured bacterium. RNAcentral describes it as "partial 16S ribosomal RNA". It matches the Rfam family "Bacterial small subunit ribosomal RNA", at positions 524 to 794 of the family's 1533-position model. The record is from RNAcentral.